RNAcentral lists this ribosomal RNA (468 nucleotides) under uncultured bacterium. RNAcentral's name for it is "partial 16S ribosomal RNA". It matches the Rfam family "Bacterial small subunit ribosomal RNA", at positions 28 to 507 of the family's 1533-position model. The record is from RNAcentral.
GACGAACGAUGGCGGAGGGGCGAACACAUGCAAGUCGAACGGAAAGGCCCUGCUUUUGUGGGGUGCUCGAGUGGCGAACGGGUGAGUAACACGUGAGUAACCUGCCCUUGACUUUGGGAUAACUUCAGGAAACUGGGGCUAAUACCGGAUAGGAGCUCCUGCUGCAUGGUGGGGGUUGGAAAGUUUCGGCGGUUGGGGAUGGAAUCGCGGCUUAUCAGCUUGUUGGUGGGGUAGUGGCUUACCAAGGCUUUGACGGGUAGCCGGCCUGAGAGGGUGACCGGCCACAUUGGGCCUGAGAUACGGCCCAGACUCGUACGGGAGGCAGCAGUGGGGAAUAUUGCACAAUGGGCGGAAGCCUGAUGCAGCAACGCCGCGUGCGGGAUGCCGGCCUUCGUGUUGUAAACCGCUUUCGCCUGUGACGAAGCGUGAGUGACGGUAAUGGGUAAAGAAGCACCGGCUAACUACGUG